CCUGAGAAACCCAAAAGAUCGAAUGAGGAGAUUCAUCGUCAGCGAUGCAGGUACGUGUGCGGCUCGUGAUGCCGGWGGCUCCGGCUUCCUGGCACGCGUCCGCAUGGUUUCUAUUGCCUGGUGUCGCCGGCGUGCACUUCUCCUCUAGUAGGACGUCGCGACCCGUUGGGUGUCGGUCUACGGCCCGGGCGGAAGUCUGUCAUGUGCAACGCUUCACGGCGUCUCGUGGCAGGCCCCCGGAUGCCCGACCGACUGCUCGGCGGUACUCGCACGGUAUCGAGGCCGCAAAUAUUCGAACUGCGUCCCGCCCGUCGCAAGCGAGGCAAGUGUUUCCCGGAUGUACGGACCUAGCGCCGUCGCCGGGCCUGGCCAGCUGUUGGUUGACGGUGCUCCUGGGACUGGCUCUUCUUUAUGAUACCGGUCGGCGACGCUACUGCUUUGGGUACUUUCAGGACCCGUCUUGAAACACGGA
Molecule: ribosomal RNA, 472 nt
Filed under: Erythrodolius griffithsorum
Lineage: Eukaryota; Metazoa; Arthropoda; Insecta; Hymenoptera; Ichneumonidae
Description: eukaryotic LSU rRNA
Source: RNAcentral